Molecule: transfer RNA, 74 nt
Filed under: Stegodyphus mimosarum
Lineage: Eukaryota; Metazoa; Arthropoda; Arachnida; Araneae; Eresidae
Rfam family: tRNA
About the family: Transfer RNA (tRNA) molecules are approximately 80 nucleotides in length. Their secondary structure includes four short double-helical elements and three loops (D, anti-codon, and T loops). Further hydrogen bonds mediate the characteristic L-shaped molecular structure. tRNAs have two regions of fundamental functional importance: the anti-codon, which is responsible for specific mRNA codon recognition, and the 3' end, to which the tRNAs corresponding amino acid is attached (by aminoacyl-tRNA synthetases). tRNAs cope with the degeneracy of the genetic code in two manners: having more than one tRNA (with a specific anti-codon) for a particular amino acid; and 'wobble' base-pairing, i.e. permitting non-standard base-pairing at the 3rd anti-codon position.
Source: Rfam by way of RNAcentral
GCCUUCGUAGUGUAAUGGUAAAGCACACUCGGUGCGUAUUCGAGAGGUCCAUGGUUCGAGUCCCGGCGAGGGCA